RNAcentral lists this microRNA precursor (96 nucleotides) under Pelobates cultripes (western spadefoot toad). The record is from RNAcentral. Lineage: Eukaryota; Metazoa; Chordata; Amphibia; Anura; Pelobatidae.
AACAGUCCUGUUCACUGAUGAGUGAUGGUCCAGAUGGAUGGAGUAGUAUCCACUACUCCAUCCAUCUAGACCAUCACUCAUCAGUGAACAGGACUG